Non-coding RNA from Mycena vulgaris, 95 nucleotides. The record is from the annotation of a GenBank genome assembly. Lineage: Eukaryota; Fungi; Basidiomycota; Agaricomycetes; Agaricales; Mycenaceae.
UCAGACAUGGUGUAGUGGGAACACGGUCUCUUCUUAUAGAAUUCCCGGUGGUACAUGUCAAGAGGCAAUCCAGGGUUCGAAUCCCUGCGUCUGAG